This 501-nucleotide ribosomal RNA is filed under the name Firmicutes bacterium oral clone 24-91. Its description in RNAcentral is "bacterial SSU rRNA". It matches the Rfam family "Bacterial small subunit ribosomal RNA", at positions 8 to 521 of the family's 1533-position model. The record is from RNAcentral. Lineage: Bacteria; Bacillati; Bacillota.
AGAGUUUGAUCAUGGCUCAGGAUGAACGCUGGCGGCAUGCCUAAUACAUGCAAGUCGAACGGAGUCUUUUAGACUUAGUGGCGAACGGGUGAGUAAUACAUAGGUACUUGUCUUUGAGUUUUGGAUAACGGUUAGAAAUGACCGCUAAUACGAAAUUAAACUUACGUUAAAAGGUCCCCUUAAAGGACCGCUUAUUGAGAGGCCUAUGGCGCAUUAGCUAGUUGGUGAGAUAAAAGCCCACCAAGGCUGUGAUGCGUAGCUGUGCUGAGAGGCAGAACAGCCACACUGGGACUGAGACACGGCCCAGACUCCUACGGGAGGCAGCAGUAGGGAAUUUUCGGCAAUGGGGGAAACCCUGACCGAGCAAUGCCGCGUGCACGAUGAAGAUCUUCGGAUUGUAAAGUGCUGUUGUUAGGGAAGAAAAAACAGAAGAGGAAAUGCUUUUGUCUUGACGGUACCUAACGAGGAAGCCCCGGCUAACUAUGUGCCAGCAGCCGCGGU